Molecule: small RNA, 495 nt
Filed under: Arabidopsis thaliana (thale cress)
Lineage: Eukaryota; Viridiplantae; Streptophyta; Magnoliopsida; Brassicales; Brassicaceae
Description: ATSL199910
Source: RNAcentral
GUACACACUUAUCAACUCCCCCGAACUUAGUCUUUGCUUGCCCUCAAGCAAACAAUUAAGAACAAGCUGGAGGUGAGGUUUGAAAGCGGGGACUCAGAGCCAAAGGGCCAGAUAAACCAGAUGAAAUCAAUGUCAAGUUGAAAGUUCUAAGCUGCAAGAUCGAAUUCUACUUAAAAACGUUAGCCAUGCCUCAUCAUCAAUCAAUCCGACUCAUAUGCUCGACCUACACAAGUUUUCAAAUCUACCAAUCCCUUUAAGAUUCAUUAGUUCUGGAACGUGAAUCAAGCAAUGCAUCAUCAAAGAACUCAUUUGGCUAAGGUAAAAGGGUAAGAGACAAAGAUGGUCCCUUACAGAAUAGGCUUCAGUAACAGGGGAUCUCUCAAAAAAUGAUUAAGCUUUAGUAGAAUGCUAAAGGUAAGUCCCAAGCUAUGCAUACAAAGAUAAGAUCCCAUCCACCCAGAGUACAUGAAAUGAAGCUCUAAUGGUAAUCCCAUA